GGGUUGUUAGCUCAGUAGGUAGAGCAGCCGCCUCUUAAGCGGAAGUGGGUAGGUUCAAGUCCUACACAGCCCA
RNAcentral lists this transfer RNA (73 nucleotides) under Okeania sp. SIO2C9. RNAcentral's name for it is "tRNA-Lys". It matches the Rfam family "tRNA". From Rfam's summary of the family: Transfer RNA (tRNA) molecules are approximately 80 nucleotides in length. Their secondary structure includes four short double-helical elements and three loops (D, anti-codon, and T loops). Lineage: Bacteria; Bacillati; Cyanobacteriota; Cyanophyceae; Oscillatoriales; Microcoleaceae. The record is from RNAcentral.